RNAcentral lists this ribosomal RNA (404 nucleotides) under uncultured bacterium. Its description in RNAcentral is "bacterial SSU rRNA". It matches the Rfam family "Bacterial small subunit ribosomal RNA", at positions 355 to 776 of the family's 1533-position model. The record is from RNAcentral.
UGGGGAAUAUUGGUCAAUGGGCGAAAGCCUGAACCAGCCAUGCCGCGUGAGUGAUGAAGGCCUUAGGGUUGUAAAGCUCUUUCGACGGGGAAGAUAAUGACGGUACCCGUAGAAGAAGCCCCGGCUAACUUCGUGCCAGCAGCCGCGGUAAUACGAAGGGGGCUAGCGUUGUUCGGAAUCACUGGGCGUAAAGCGCGCGUAGGCGGAUUGUUAAGUCAGGGGUGAAAUCCUGAGGCUCAACCUCAGAACUGCCUUUGAUACUGGCAAUCUUGAGUCCGGAAGAGGUAAGUGGAACUCCUAGUGUAGAGGUGAAAUUCGUAGAUAUUAGGAAGAACACCAGUGGCGAAGGCGGCUUACUGGUCCGGUACUGACGCUGAUGUGCGAAAGCGUGGGGAGCAAACAGG